UGAAUGCAAAAAAGAAUGUAAGUACAUUUUGUGGAUCACUGUGUUACUAUAUGUGGAUUAUAUUCUGCUUCAAAUUGAAUGAAAUGUAGAUUUUGGGUAAAUAAUUAUUUUCCAGUCAGAAGAUCCCGGACAUGCCGUCCGACGUGGUGGGAGCUCUGAUGUUUCUGGAGGAUUAUGUACGCUACACCAAACUGCCUCGCAAGGUGGCCGAGGCCCACGUGCCAAGCUUCAUCUUUGAUGAGUUCAGGACAGUCCUGUGAAAAUCUAGAUAAAGGCCUCGAGUUCAGGACAGUCCUGUGAAGAUCUAGAUGAAGGCCUCGAGUUCAGGACGGUCCUGUGAAGAUCUAGAUAAAGGCCUCGAGUUCAGGACGGUCCUGUGAAGAUCUAGAUAAAGGCUUCUUGGUUUAACUUUCUGUUAAUUCAUUCAUUUUGACUUUAAUUAAUCUCUUGGUUAUGUAAUGACCUUUUAAUGUGCUAAUGCUUCAGUAACACUGUAAAUAGUUGAAUGGUUUUUAAUAACAUCCUGUGUUACCAGCUUUGGUAUAAUGUCACUGUUGUAAUAUGUCAUUCAUUAAAUACAAAAGAGGCUUUGAAUAAAUAUAAUUUUGUUGCUUUCUA
Molecule: long non-coding RNA, 618 nt
Organism: Oncorhynchus kisutch (coho salmon)
Lineage: Eukaryota; Metazoa; Chordata; Actinopteri; Salmoniformes; Salmonidae
Exons: 2
Source: RefSeq, a predicted model, not a curated record